This 526-nucleotide ribosomal RNA is filed under the name uncultured bacterium. RNAcentral's name for it is "bacterial SSU rRNA". It matches the Rfam family "Bacterial small subunit ribosomal RNA", at positions 8 to 523 of the family's 1533-position model. The record is from RNAcentral.
AGAGUUUGAUCCUGGCUCAGAUUGAACGCUGGCGGUAUGCUUAACACAUGCAAGUCGAACGGCAGCACAGGAUAGCUUGCUAUCCGGGUGGCGAGUGGCGGACGGGUGAGUAACGCGUAGGAAUCUACCUUUUCGUGGGGGAUAACCCGGGGAAACUCGGGCUAAUACCGCAUACGCCCUACGGGGGAAAGCGGGGGACCUUCGGGCCUCGCGCGGAAUGAUGAGCCUGCGUCCUAUCAGGUAGUUGGUGAGGUAAUGGCUCACCAAGCCGACGACGGGUAGCUGGUCUGAGAGGACGACCAGCCACACUGGGACUGAGACACGGCCCAGACUCCUACGGGAGGCAGCAGUGGGGAAUAUUGGACAAUGGGGGAAACCCUGAUCCAGCAAUACCGCGUGUGUGAAGAAGGCCUUCGGGUUGUAAAGCACUUUUAGCAGGAAAGAAAGGCCGUGCGCUAAUACCGCAUGGUUCUGACGUUACUUGCAGAAAAAGCACCGGCUAACUCCGUGCCAGCAGCCGCGGUAA